GCUGGCCAACGUUGACUAGAAUGAUCCACUAGCAGGGAUGAGAGAGAGUGGAACAACAAUGACAGGUAUUUCUGGGAAUAAUACACAAGGUGCAGGAUCAGUUCAUUCCACAAAUGAAGAAAGAUUCCAAGGGGUGAAAGGGGCGACCGUGGCUGACAAGGGACGUCAGGGACAGUUUAAUCAUUAAAGUGAAGAAGUACAACAAAGCCAAGAUGAAC
Molecule: long non-coding RNA, 218 nt
Organism: Amblyraja radiata (thorny skate)
Lineage: Eukaryota; Metazoa; Chordata; Chondrichthyes; Rajiformes; Rajidae
Exons: 3
Source: RefSeq, a predicted model, not a curated record